This 139-nucleotide non-coding RNA is filed under the name Clostridiales bacterium PH28_bin88. Its description in RNAcentral is "SAM riboswitch aptamer (S box leader)". It matches the Rfam family "SAM riboswitch aptamer (S box leader)". From Rfam's summary of the family: The SAM riboswitch is found upstream of a number of genes which code for proteins involved in methionine or cysteine biosynthesis in Gram-positive bacteria. The SAM riboswitch acts at the level of transcription termination control. Lineage: Bacteria; Bacillati; Bacillota; Clostridia; Eubacteriales. RNAcentral also lists the same sequence under 1 other name. The record is from Rfam by way of RNAcentral.
CUCUUAUCCAGAGAGGUGGAGGGACUGGCCCGAUGAAACCCGGCAACCCUCACCUUGGGGAUUAACGCGCCAGAUAGGCGAAACCCCGGGGUGAAAGGUGCCAAUUCCUGCGGGACGGGUUUGUCCUGAGAGAUAAGAG